RNAcentral lists this ribosomal RNA (382 nucleotides) under uncultured eukaryote. Its description in RNAcentral is "partial 18S ribosomal RNA". It matches the Rfam family "Eukaryotic small subunit ribosomal RNA", at positions 592 to 976 of the family's 1831-position model. The record is from RNAcentral.
CGUAAGCGUAUACCAAAGUUGUUGCAGUUAAAACGCUCGUAGUCGGAAUUUGGCAGUUCCGGAUGUGUGCACAUCGUGUGCGCACUUCGCGGGGAUUGCUUUUGUGGUCUUGCGUAGGAUGAGGCACUUUUAUUAGUGAACGUCCUCACGCAACCACUUUUUACUGUGAGAAAAUCAGAGUGCUCAAAGCAGGCAUUUGCCGUGAAUGUAUUAGCAUGGAAUAAUAGAAUAGGACUUGGUUCUAUUUUGUUGGUUUGUUGGGACUGAGUAAUGAUUAAGAGGGACAGUUGGGGGCAUUUGUAUUUCGGUGCUAGAGGUGAAAUUCUUAGAUUACCGAAAGACAAACUGCUGCGAAAGCGUCUGCCAAGGAUGUUUUCAUUGA